Molecule: long non-coding RNA, 37264 nt
Filed under: Zea mays
Lineage: Eukaryota; Viridiplantae; Streptophyta; Magnoliopsida; Poales; Poaceae
Description: long non-coding RNA (ZMAY_LNC002859)
Source: RNAcentral
ACAAAUUAAACCAAACAUAUAUGCGAACACUUAUUACUGUUAGUUCGAAAAACAAAACAAGUUGGCAACACGGAUAUCGAGGUUGAGAUUACAGGUUUUAGCAGGUAAGCAAGCAAGCUGAUGGUCGAUCCAUGCACGUGUAUCAGAACUUGGAGAUGAAGUCGUAGAUGUGCUGGCUGACCUUGUCGGCCUUCUCCUGCUGGACGAAGUGGCCGGCGCCGGGGAUGACGACGACGCUCUCGAGUCCCGGGACGUCAGCCUCGAACCCGCCCUUGUGGAUGUAGUCCUGGAUGCCCGGGUGCUGGUAGGUGAGGUCGCCGUCGCCGACGAUGAACCUGGUUGGCACCCGCACCUUGGCGUCCGCCCACGGCGCCGCCAGCUCCCAGUUGCGGUCCAUGUUGCGGUAGUAGUUGAUGGGCCCCGUGAAGCCCGUCCGCUCGAACUCCGACGCGAAGUGGCCCACGUCCUCCUCCGUCAGCCACGGCGGCAGCGCCUCCUCCUCGGCGGCGUCCUCCGGCGCCGGAUUCUCGCCGCCGGCCGCCGAGAAGGUGAAGCGGUUGCAGAGGAUCCGCUUCAUUAGGUACCUGGCGUUGGCCGGCGAGAACUCCUUCUCUGCGACGCCAGGCUCCUGCAUGCAGUCACUUUAGUAGUUAUAAUAAGCAGUAAAGAUCUCGAUCGCUUUAUUACUUUUUUGAAGAAUCAGUAGGGGAUGCCCCUGCUGAGAAAUUUAUUAGGUAAGCGAAACGAAAACGUUAGGACAAGGUCUUUUUACAAACGUUAAGAAGAAAUGAAAAGGGAACACUACUCCUAUGCCUGCCACAGGCUCAGCCAAUUCGGGAUAGAGGUGUCAAAUUUCCUCUGUGCUCUCUGCAUGAUCAAUCGCAGCUCUUUGCUGAAUUCCUGCGUACAACGGUGCACCGAAGGAUCUUUGCUUGAAAACAACCACUCGUUUCGGCUUUUCCAGAUGCUCCAAGUCAUGAGAAUAAUAAUCUCCAUAGAGAAGGGGACGUUAAGCUGGUGGUUAAGGUUCGCAGCUGCCACCUCAGGGUUGGAGAUUCUGGGCGGAGUUAUGCCAAUUGAGCUCCAGCAGGCUUUCGCGAAAUUGCAUCUGAGAAACAGGUGAUAGAGAGUCUCCUCUCUUUGCCAUAGACAGUUUUCACAAGAAUAGGAAUCCAGUUCCAUGUUUCUCCUUCUCAGCAUAUCUCUGGUGUUUAGCCUAUUCUUGAGCCACAGCCAAAAGAAGACUCUAUGUUUAGGCUGACAUUUGCUUUUCCAUAAAAGUCUGUAGAUAGGGUGAAUCUGCGUCUGGCCCAUAAAAAAUCUGUAAGCUUUUUGAGAAGAGAAUUUGUCAGAUCCCCAUAUGUAUCGCCAGUGAUCAUGGGCGUCACUGAGGACAAUUUGCUCCCAAGGCCCCUUCAGCACCAGAAAUUGAUCAUACGCUUGUUCAGAGAUAGGCAAAUGAAAGAGACCAUCAAACUGCUCCUGCUCCUUGGCCUCUUUCACAGUCAGUUUUGUGUUUUUGGCAAAGGAGAAAAGCUCAGGAAAGUUCUGCCUCGGGAUGCUCUGACUCCACUGAUCAUCCUAGAACGAAAUUGAGCCUCCAUUGCCAAUAACAGGGAUAGCCAGCCCCUUGAAGUUGGGAAGAAGUUUGAUCAUGCUCUUCCACCAGAAGGAGCCAAUGUUUCUAUGACCAGGAAGACCCCAGGAUAAAUAAUAUUUAUUCCAUAUGAGAUGCACCCAAGGUAAGUCACUGUGAUUGAAGAAUUUAUGUAAGAAUUUGAUUAGAAGAGCCUCGUUCUGAGUUUCCAAGCGAAGAACUCCCAACCCACCAUUCACUUUCCUCUGCGUAACCGCAUUCCAAGCAAUAAGUGGUGGCUUCUUUGAAUUGAUGUCAUUCCCUCUCCACAGACAGUGCUUUCUAUACCUGUCAAUUUCCUUAAUGAUGGUUUUAGGAAUCUUGAGCGUGCACAUGAAGAACGUCGGUAAGGUUGAGAAGACUGAAUUUACCAAUUCCAGGCGCCCGGCCUGAGACAGGAAGUUUGAGGAGCAGGACAACCUUUUCUGAAUCCUUUGAAUAAGAGGCAAAUAGUGUUCCUUUCUCGGCCUCGCAAGACCCAGAGGCAAGCCAAGAUAGGUGAAAGGCAUCUCUCCAAUCUGACAAUUGAAGGUACGGGACAGGAUCGCCAUUUUUCCAGGGGGCACGUUAAUAGGGUACAUAUUUGAUUUAUUAUAGUUAACCUUCAGGCCAGUAGAAGAGGCAAAAGAGUUGAGGAUUGCCUUGAGGAAGAAAAGUUGUUUAGGGCAUGCCUCCAAAAUCAAGAGAGUGUCGUUUGCAUACUGAACAAUCGGGAAAUCCUGAUCACCAAUAUCCGGUAAAGGGAGCUUAAGAAGGUUCCGCAGCCUAGCUUUAUUUAUGAUGCUCUGAAGAAGGUCAGCUGCCAGGACAAACAACAGAGGCGAGAGGGGAUCACCCUGUCUAACACCUCGCUUGCAAUGAAAGGGCUUACCAGGAACACCAUUGAGUAACACCGAAGACGUGCCGGAUAGAAGAAUGCUCCGAAUCCAGCUGGUCCACCUAGGACCGAAACCUUUGUGAAUCAGAACCUGGAUAAUCAGUUCAUGUUCCACAGUGUCAAACGCUUUUUCAAAGUCCAGCUUGAGCACAAUGAUCUCUUUUUUAGGAGUGGCAUAAGUGAAUGUAUUCGAAGGCCCAUGUCAAGCAGUCUUGAAUAGACCUCCCUUUGAUGAAGUCAUUGUGGGGGAUAGAUAUCCCCCGGGUCCACUAAAAGAGUAAAAGACCUCACGAAAGGCCCAAGGGCCCAAUAAAUCGUGAGGUCAUUCUUUCGUGGGCCUGGGGAGAGACAACCAGCAAAGCAGAGCGACGUGAGGCCGGACUGGAGCAAACCCGGACGGCCCACAACGUCGGGUGAGUGACCGCAACAGAGAUCCGACUUUCCCGCGCUGGAGCCCCCAUGCAACGAAGCCGUGCAGGGAUAAGUCGGCAGGGUUACGUGGAGAUAAACUCAAGCAGUUCACUAUCUUUUAGCUACUCGUUGUUAUCAUAUCCACAUGUAUUGCCCCAUGGUCGAGUAUAUAAGGCCUAGGGGGCACCCCUUCAGAACGAUCGACACUAUUACUUAGCCACUCACAUCAACUCUCUGCAGAGAGUUCUCUUGUAACCACAUUCACAAAGAAUACUCACCAGGACGUAGGGUGUUACGCAUCUCUAAGCGGCCUGAACCUGUAAACCUUGUCCACUGUUCCUCGUGCAAUCGGCACGAACCAUUUUGCUACAGUUGUCGACACCGUCCUACUCCUAAAAACACCUUGAGGGGCAACCCCAGGUGUGCGGUCGGACCCAAAACACCGACAGCUGGCGCGCCAGGUAGGGGGUGUGUCGACGAUCCAAGCUAGCUCAAUGGCCGUCACCUUCUACAGCAAGAUCACUCUGCGUCCCGGAUCCGUAUUCUGCUUCGGAACAAUCUCAUCCGUAGCGGAUGAAGAGGGAACUCUACACCGCAUUGCGGAUCCGCCGGAAAAGAAGUCUCCUCCAACAAACUCCGAAAAUGUCGGAGAAGUGCAACCUCCGGCUUUCCGGAAAAAGAUCGUCUCCGGAAAGUCGGGGACUGAGGGCCCGUUGACCCGAAGAACUCCACUGUCUACUUCCCCGACAAAAGAAUGGACACAGAUCGCGAGGAAGAAGGAGACCAAGGGGAAGCAAGUCGUUCUUCCCGUUCCUCCGCCCUCAAAGGAGAACGGAAAGAAGGUCGCCGCGACGACAGUACCAUUCUACCCCGACGUCCUCUUCAUCGGGAGAGUGGAGUCACCUACCGUCUCCGACGACGAGCCGACCGCACCCGGAGAAGAACCGCCUCAACGAGAAUCCCGCCGACGGAGGAACCGGCGCAGGAACAUCCGACGACAUCACGCGGCCGGAGAACGGGAUCUGGAGCAGCCUGUCUCGUGAGACGAGGUAUCGGAGAUAGGAGAGACUCCGGAAGAACGCGUCUUCAGAGAAUGAAGGAACUCCCGACGACGCGAUCGCCGCCGGGCUCAGGAGCAAGCCGAGCAAGAUGCAAGGCAACGCCGGGAGAAUCCAUUCUUCGGGCGCAACCUAAAUCCCGACUUCGCCCGAGCUAUGAACACGCCAAGCGAAGUCGGAGGGGUACUAGCUCGGAUAGCUGAUGGACUCCCUCGGACUCCCGACGCUGAGGGCUACCGACGACUGUUCACCCAGGCGGCCAACCAUCUUCUACCGCUCGCUCACCCGCCGAACGAUCUACAACACGCCAUCAACAGUCGUCGAGACGCGCGAAGCUCCAUCAAUGCUUCGCGCGAACGUCGGCAUGAGAACGAGAUCCGUCGCCGGGAGGAGUACGAUAGGGAUCAUGGCAUCCCAGCUCAAAGCCAGGCCACCAGAACUGAGUCGGUAACGGCCUCAACUGGCGGCACCACCCGGGGGCGGUCGAGGAACCACAACCACUACUCCCCUCCCCGGGACAGACAUCAUCCCCGACGGCAGGAGGAUACGUGCGGAGUGUCUGCUCUUACCCCGCGCCUUAGGGCCAUCCAAUGGCCUCCCAACUUCAAGGUAUCCAAUGUCGACAAAUAUGAACCUAAGCAAGAUCCAGGGGGUUGGCUAGCCGUCUACACCACCGCUGCUCGAGCUGCCGGAGCGUCCGAAGACGUGAUGACCGCAUACUUACCCAUUGUCCUUGGGCAAGACGCGCUGCAAUGGCUGCGGCAUCUACCCCGACACUGCAUCGACGACUGGGGCGACUUCAGUCGACGCUUCACCGCCAACUUCCAGUCCCUCUCCGACAAGCCGGCGCAACCGUGGGACCUCAAAUCCAUCAAGCGCCGGGGGGACGAGACUCUUCAGUCGUACCUCAAAAGGUUUCAGACCAUGAGAAAUCGUAUCCCCGAGGUCACGGAGGCGGUCGUGAUCGAGGACUUCUACAGAGGAUCCAAUGACUCGGUUUUCGUCCGAGCCAUACUACAGAAGGCGCCGACUACCUCCGAGGAGCUGUUCCGGGAAGCCGACCUCUACAUCACCGCCGACGAGCGGGCCCAGGACCUCAUCGGAGGAGCAAAGCCCGCACCGGCAGCACCACGACGCGACCCGAACCAGCAACCCGACAAACGAUGGGAGAAGAGGCCUCACGAAGAAGUACACGCCGCCGACCACCUGCCUCUCGCGCCCGAGGAGGACCUCGUGGAGGCGAACACACGCUGGACGACAUCCUCGACGCCCAGUGUCCGUACCACAAGGACAUGCGCCACACUCUUCGUAACUGCCGGGACUUCAAGCAUUCCGUCGGACACGGCCGACCCUUCCAACCUCUACCUCCUCCUCCGCCGAGGGGAAGACCAGAUGAACCACGACAACCCCAUCAGCAGGAGGAGGGAGGAGGAGGAGGAGCUUUCCCACGCGUCGACAGGGAGGUCAACGUCAUUUUUGGCGGACAUGGGUUGCAGGAGAACAAAAGACAACAAAAGCUCAACGACCGCCAGAUACUGGUGGCGACCACCGGUCCUCCCGCCCCAUGUCGGUGGUCGGAACACCCGAUCACUUUCACUCGGGAGGAUCAAUGGCUCAACUUCGACCACCCGGGCAAAUACCCGCUCCUCGUCGAUCCGGUGAUCCGAGAGAGCCGGGUAAAGAAGGUGCUAGUGGACGGGGGGAGCAGCAUCAAUAUCACCUUCCCCCAGCCCCUCCAAGGCUUGGGAGUUCACCUCAAAGAGCUCCAUGAGUCGGACACUUCUUUCUUUGGCAUCGUGCCGACGGAAGGGGAAUACCCGCUGGGCCACAUCUACUUGCCAGUCACCUUCGGAACUCCGGAGAACUACAGAACUGAGAUCCUGAGGUUUGAAGUGGCGAACUUCGACUGUGGGUACAACGCCAUCAUCGGGAGGCCGGGGCUGGCCAAAUUCAUGGCUAUCCCUCAUUGCACGUACAUGAUACUGAAGAUGUCAGGACCGCAAGGAAUCAUAACUGUGCGCGCCGACUUCCAAGGCGCCGCAGAGUGUUUCCGAGUGGCCAUCCAAGCAGCCCUCACCACCAAGUCGUCGACAGUUUCUUCAACACAGGCGAACUCUAAGCCUGAGGAGGACCUUACAGUACCGGCAAACGAAGCUCAGGCCGCGACCUCUAUGCGGCCGACUGAAGAAACCAAGAGGAUCAACAUGGGGUUCGCUGAUGAACGCAAGACUGCCAUCAUCAGCUCCAACCUGGACGACAAAUAGGAAAGCGCGCUCGUCCAGUUUCUGCAAGAUAACCGAGAUGUAUUCGCAUGGCAACCUGCGGAUAUGCCGGGAGUCCCGAGAGAACUGGCCGAGCACAAACUGAAGGUCUAUCCCCAGGCAAGGCCGAUUCGGCAAAAGCUACGUCGUUUCACGCCCGACAAGAGAGAGGCCAUUCGCGCCGAGUUAGCUCGCUUGGUCGCGGCUGGAUUUAUUAGAGAGGUGCUACACCCCGAGUGGUUAGCCAACCCUGUUCUUGUACUCAAAAAGAAUAAAGUGGAUUGGUGCAUGUGCGUCGACUAUACUGAUCUCAACAAACACUGUCCGAAGGAUCCCUUCGGGCUCCUAAGGAUAGAUCAGGUGGUGGACUCCACCGCUGGAUGUUCUGUGCUGUCUCUCUUGGAUUGCUAUUCCGGAUACCACCAGAUUAGUUUGGCGAAGGAAGAUGAGGAAAAAACAACGUUCAUCACUCCGUUUGGUGCUUUCUGUUAUACCUCCAUGCCGUUCGGCCUCAAAAACGCUGGAGCGACUUAUCAGAGAGCCAUCCAAACGUGCUUAGCCGAUCACUGGGGCAAGCGUGUGGAGGCCUACGUAGAUGAUGUGGUAAUCAAAACGGAGAAUUCGGAAAACUUCAUCGAAGACUUACAGCUGGUUUUCAACAGUCUGAGACGGUAUAGAUGGAAGCUUAAUCCCGAAAAAUGUGUUUUCGGAGUGCCAGCAGGAAAGCUACUCGGGUUCAUCGUCAGCCACCGAGGAAUUGAGGCUAAUCCGGAUAAGAUUGAAGCUAUCAUGAAGAUGGAAGCGCCUCGAUCACAAAAGAAAGUUCAGCGACUUACUGGAUGCAUGGCAGCUCUGAGCAGAUUUAUAUCCAGGCUGGGGGAAAAAGGUUUGCCAUUUUACAAGCUACUCAAGAAGGUGGAUAAGUUUCAGUGAACUUCAGAAGCACAGGAAGCUCUAGAUGCGCUGAAGAAAUUUUUGACAACGCCACCAGUACUGAAGCCACCCCGACGGGCUACGUCAACUCAACCAGCUGAAGAUCUGCUACUGUAUAUCUCUUGCACGACUCACGUGGUAAGCACCGCGUUGGUAGUCGAGCGAGUAGAAGAAGGACAUGCCUACCCAGUGCAACAUCCUGUUUACUUCAUCAAUGAAGUUCUAGGCCCCUCAAAGAAAAAGUAUCCUCAAGUUUAGAAGCUAUUAUAUGCAGUACUUCUAACUGCCCGCAAGCUACGUCACUACUUUGACGACCACAAAGUCAUAGUAGUCACCGGUUUUCCAAUAGGGGAUAUUCUUCACAACAAGGAGGCCAUUGGCCGGUUAGCCAAAUGGGCUUGUGAAUUGGGAUCUCAUGACAUCGAGUUCCGACCUCGCACUGCCAUCAAAACUCAAGCACUGGUUGAUUUCGUAUCAGAGUGGACUGAACAGCAAGUACCAGAUAACCCAGAGACUGCAGAAGUAUGGCGAAUGUAUUUUGAUGGCUCGCUGAGGUUGCAGGGAGCAGGAGCAGGAAUUCUCUUCACCGCACCUGGAGGCGAGCACCUCAAAUAUGCCCUCCAGCUGCUAUUUCCGGCCUCCAAUAAUGCAGCCGAGUAUGAAGCUUUGAUCCAUGGAUUGAACAUCGCCAUAUCAUUGGGCAUCAAGAGAUUGAUGGUAUACGGAGACUCUCUGGUGGUCAUUAGCCAGAUAAACAAAGAGUGGGAUUGUUCAAGCGAUUCAAUGGGAAAAUACUGUACUGCCGUCCGAAAGUUGGAAGACAAAUUUGAGGGUCUGGAAUUUCAUCAUGUAGAAAGAGAUCGGAACACAGCAGCCGAUGUACUAUCCAAGCUAGGAUCCAGUCGAGCUCAGGUCCCACCCGGAGUCUUUGUGCAAGAAAUACUGCAGCCGAGUAUCUCAAUGGAUCGAACAGAAGAGUGCAACAUUAUAGAUCAACCCGAGUCAGACUCUGAUGACUGGAGAAGGCCAAUCAUCAAGUAUAUAAAGAAUGAAGAAGAACCAGAUGACAAGAACUCGGCCGAGCGCAUUGCCAGACAAUCGGCUCACUACACACUCAUUGGGGAGACAUUGUAUAGAAGGGGUGCGUCAGGUGUCCUCAUGAAGUGCAUCCUCCCGUCCACUGGGAAGCAACUUCUGGAGGAAGUCCAUGCUGGGCAAUGUGGAAUACAUGCAGCCUCCAGAACACUAGUCGGGAAGGUCUUCAGAUCAGGAUUCUAUUGGCCAACAACAAAGAAUGAUGCAGCCGAGUUAGUUCAGAGGUGCGAAGCUUGCCAAUACUUGUCAAAACAACAACAUCUGCCAGCACAGCAACUGCAGACCAUACCAGUAACUUGGCCUUUCGCAUGCUGGGGACUGGAUAUGAUUGGACCUUUCAAGAAAGCUCAAGGGGGAUACACUCAUGUAUUGGUAGCAAUCGACAAAUUCACUAAAUGGAUAGAAUUCAAGCCCAUUGCUUCUUUAACCUCUGCUAAGGCCGUGGAAUUCAUACAAGACAUAAUAUUCAGAUUCGGGAUACCAAACAGCAUCAUAACCGACUUAGGAUCCAACUUCACGAGUUCAGAGUUCUUUGACUUCUGCGAGCAAAAGAGCAUUCAGAUCAAGUAUGCGUCUGUAGCACAUCCAAGGGCCAACGGGCAGGUUGAGCGAGCCAACGGGAUGAUAUCGGAGGCGCUCAGGAAAAAGGUCUUUGACAAGAAUGAAAAGUUCGCAGGAAAGUGGAUAAGGGAAUUGCCCUAUGUCGUUUGGAGCCUAAGAACCCAACCCAGCCGAGCUUUGCAUGGAAACACUCCUUUCUUCAUGGUCUAUGGGUCAGAGGCAGUGCUACCCGCCGAUCUCAAGUUUCGGGCGCCAAGGUUGAUCUUCGAAAACAUAGCAGAAGCUGAAGCCACCAGGCUGGAGGACAUUGAUGUACUUGAAGAAGAACGGCUAAACGCGGUAAUCCAAUCAGCACGGUAUCAGCAGACUCUAAGGCGCUAUCACGACAAGGCCGUGCGACAACGAUCCUUCUCAAUAGGAGAUCUCGUCCUCCGCCGAAUUCUAAUGGGGGAGGGACGACACAAGUUAUCGCCCUUAUGGGAAGGACCUUUCAUGGUAGCAGGAGUCACUCGGCCCGGAUCGUAUCGUCUCACUCAGAUGGAUGGCACAGAAGUUGGGAACUCAUGGAACAUAGAACACCUCAGGAAGUUUUAUCCCUAGCUGUAUUUCAAAAACUGCUGGGAUGACGAUGUACUCUGUAAAAGUGGAAAUAUGUCGUCAAUAAAAAAGAGGUUUCAAGGAUACUCAGUUCAUUUACGAUUGACUUGCACGCUUACUUAACUCGGGGUGACCACUAUGCCCUACUAACAGAGCAAUCGACUUAAGUCGGCAGCGACUUAAGGCGGUGCAACAUGCUCACGCUUACUUAACUCGGGGUGACCACUAUGCCCUACUAACGGAGCAAUCGACUUAAGUCGGCAGCGACUUAAGGCGGUGCAACAUGCUCACGCUUACUUAACUCGGGGUGACCACUAUGCCCUACUAACGGAGCAAUCGACUUAAGUUGGCAGCAACUUAAGGCGGUGCAACAUGCUCACGCUUACUUAACUCGGGGUGACCACUAUGCCCUAUCAACGGAGCAAUCGACUUAAGUUGGCAGCAACUUAAGGCGGUGCAACAUGCUCACGCUUACUCAGCUCGGGGUGACCACUAUGCCCUACUAAUGGAGCAAUCGGCUAAAGUCAGUGGCGACUUAAGCCGGUGCAACAUGCUCAUGCCUAUGCAAUUCAGGGGAUGACUUCUAUAUCCCGCAAACAAAUUUCAUAAUCAUCGCGCGUCAUUUCACUACUGCAAAUCUACGAACUGAUGAAUUCUGAGACAAUAAGAGAGUAAUUAUAUCAUUCGAAUACUAAACUGAUGUCCUCUAACAAAUACUCAAUCAUGCUAACCGCGCGCUCAGAGCACGCAAAAUGUUUCUCUAUUUCGCAAUGUCUUUCUCAGGAGCGACCGACGAAGAAGGGUGACUCGAGGAAUCAGGGGCAGCAUUCACAUCAGCCCUUAUGUCUUCAGGAACAACCACGCCGGGUCUCCUCAUCAAGAUUCGUCCCGCCCGAAUAGCCUUGUCCAUGGCUCUAUCGCGCUGAGCUUUGAGAGUAACAGAAGUUUCUUCAGCAACUUUAGCAGCCAGUCGAGCAGUUUCUAACUCCUGGACAAUGGAUUUCUUGGAAGCUCGGAGUUCUUUGAUGGUAGCAUCCUUUGCUGAUAUCAAUUGCUUGAGGCGGGUCACUUCGUCCGCAGAUUCCUGCAGCUUACGACGUUGAUUGUCCAAUUCCUCCAUUGUAAAGCGGUGGCUCCUCUCCAAGAUGGUCAGCGAGUUGCUAGAAUCACGAUACAAUCUAUCAAGACUGUCACGAGAGGCAGCGAGAAUACGUUUUUCUUCCUGCGAGCAAAAAUCAACUCCUUCAAAAACCAAGCAAAUAAUAGGAACACAGCAAGGCAAAGCACAGUUUUGUAAAUUACCUUUUCAGAAUCGAGCUGAGCAUGAAGAGAAGAACUCAGUGCAUUGGCGUCAUCCAAAGCAGCAGAGACUUGACCCAGUUCAGUUUGGCUCUGAGAGUACUUCUCCUCGAAGUCAGCACACCGCUGGACCAAUUUAGCUUGAUCUCGGGAAUGUUUUUCCUCAAGAGUUGAAAUCCGCCGAGUCAUUCCUAGCAAGAGAUAAUCAAACAAAACGGGGUCAGAAGGUAAAGCAGUCCACAGUGAAAGCAAGGAGAAGCAAAAGGCACUAACCAGCGUUGGUUGCCUCCAAUUCAGAGACGCGAUGUUGAAGUGACAUUGGAUUCCAGCAUGGAAGAGACGAAGCUACUUCUGGGACGGAAGCACCCUGUAGCCUCAGCUGGCUAGCCAUCCCGUCCACCAAAGCCUGAUGAGGAAAACAGAUGAGUGUAAUGACAACAGUUCAUACAAUGUGAAAAUCAAGCUAAAAUACAUCACAGUACCUGGAGGUUGGAAAAGAACGAAGGGAUCCCCCAAAUCAGGAGAGAUCAGUUGAUAAUCAGGCGUGAGGCGACCACCCGAAGCAGCUUGCAACGAACCAGUAGGAAUCAGCUCGGUGCCUUCAACAGAGCCAAACACUCGAUCAGCGGGGAUGCUGCCCUCUAAAGCGACUCCCUGGUCCAUGGUUUGGGCUACCACCAUACAGCCAGAAUGUGGAGGAGAUCCCGCAUGAACAUCCAUGGAGACCCUGCUCAGGCACCCUCGAGGGCUGGGUCAUAGUUUGCACUGCCCACUUGAGCCGGAUCAUCCCCGUCAGCACCCUCGGGGGCUGGGCAAUGGCUUACACUCUUCACUUGAGCCAAGUCAUCCCCGGCGACAUCCUCGGGGGCUGGGCAUGUGUCAGCACCAUUCUUGAGGUCCAAGCUCUCUGCAAUAACCACCUCUAAGGUUGACGGGCCCUCAGUUACUUCCAUAGGACCAGGACGAUCCAAGUCAGUCUCCCGACCCUCGAGAUCGCGCUCUAAGGUCGACGAGGCACGGGAUGACCUCAACCCAGCAUCAGACACGUUAGCGCAGGCUUCCACUGCACCAUCAUCUACUGGCUCCGAUAACAAAUCCUCUGGGACCAUAUCCUCAAGAGUCUGGUCAAAGUUGGCCAGUGACAGCUCUUGCAGACCAAUGAGGGCAGACAAAGCAGGAGAGGGAACUCCACUACUUUCACCACUGGCAACGAACUGCCGACUGUUUUUCCGAGUCAAAGGAACUUCAUCUUCCUCCUCCUCCUCGUCCACGUUAGCAACACAUGCAGCACACCCAUUGGGAUCAACAACAGAUGGAGCACCCACAUUAGGAUCAGCAACAGAAGGGGCACACCCAUUGGGAUCAGCAGCAGAUUGGGUACACCCAUUGGGGUCAGCGUCAGUAAAUUCAGUCACCGGCACUUCUUCAGCAGCAGGAACCGAUGUACCAACGUCCCGAUCCAAACUGGAUACUCACCGGAGGCGUCUCUUUUUCUUUUUCUGCUCAUCAGCAGAAGGAUCAGGUUGAUUGGCUCGGCAAGGGCACCUCGGGCGAGUACUGGUAGGCUUCUGAGUAUCCAAAGUUGUAUCAGCCUCUGGGAGGGGCGCCACUACCAAUGCCCCAGCAGGAGCAGCGUCAGAAGAGUCCUCGGCCAGCAAAUCAAGCAUAGCGCUUAUCUCUGCAUCACUAGGGUUCAGGGGCACCUCAAAGUGGACUUGUCGUUCAUCAUCAGGAAUCUCCCCGAGCGAGGCAACCAAGACACUAACUUCUUCAGCAGAGGGUCGCACUCUAAGACCUAAGCUGCCAUCAGUGACAGGUGGAUUCGACACAAAAAAGGUGAAGGCUUUGGGAGGAGGCAGGUUCCAGGCCGAGUACGCCACUGGAGCACCAACAUUUGACACUUUACCCCUAAGGAUCAUCUCUAGUCGACUCACCAAGUCUGCAGAAGGAAUUCUUCUGUUAGUAACCCGAGUUGAGUCGGCUAGCCCUCGAUACAGAUAAGCUGGGUAGGCCCUGUCUUUCAAUGGCUGAAUAUUCUUGAAAACAAAAUCAGUAACCACAGCUUCAGCAGUCAGACCCCUCUCUUUCAGCAGUCCAAUUUCAGCUAGCAACACACCUGCCUCAGCUACCUCCUGAUCUGUGGGAGACUCGGUCCAGCUUGGGGUGCGAACGUCCGGCUGUCUUCCCGACCGGGAGGGGAGAGAAUUCCCAUAAUUCUCAACUAUGAACCACUCCAGGCGCCAUCCCUUAAUACUAUCCUUGAGAGGGAUCUCGAGAUAUUCAGUUUUCCUCCCGCGGCGCAUCUCCAAGCUGGCACCUCCGACCAACUGAUGUUGUCCCCCGGCCAUCCCAGGGCGACAAUGGUACAAGUAUUUCCACAGACCGAAAUGUGGCAGCACGCCAAGAAAGGCCUCGCAUAAAUGAACGAAAAUGGAGAUUUGCAGGAUAGAAUUGGGAUUCAGAUGGGUCAAGUUGAGGUGGUAGAAAUCAAGGAGGCCACGGAAAAAGGGAGAAAUAGGAAGGCCAAGACCGCGGAGAAGGAAAGGAGCAUAAACAACGGACUCAUGGGUAUCCUCAGUCGGGACAGUAACCCCAUGGCAAAUCCGCCAAAAGCAGAGUUCUCGCGGAGGAAGAACCCCGAUGGACACGAGAUGGAGGAGCUCGGGCUCAGAGAUGACGGACAUGUGGUUACCUGCGAAAGGCAGUUGGCUGUUGGGGUCGAUUGGAGGAAUCACCACAGCAGACGAACUCGAGGCUUUCCUUUUGGGCGCCAUCUCGAUUCUACCAGCGAGCAGAGUGGGAGGCGAAUUGCAGAGGGGAUUCGGAAGCGAGAAAGCAAGAACUAGGACACGGAAAGCAGAGGCGGCUAAAAGCGCAACACUUAUGGGAUAUUCUCGAGCCAGAUACCGUUUCAAAAAGUGCCCAGUCAGCACCCGGCGGUUAUUUCCAAAAACACCGGCGUGCCACGUGAUCACCCGACAGUUAUUUCUAGAACACCGGUGCGCCACCUCAUCACUCGGCUAUCAUCCUCAAAGUGGCCCAUGCAGCCUGCUAUCACUCGGCGUUACCUCUAAAACGCCGACAUCGUGUCAAGUCACUCGGCAUUACCUCUAAAAUGCUGACGUCACCCUCUAGUCACUCGGCGUUGCCUCUAAAACGCUGAUAUCGUGUUCAGCCGCUCGGCAUUACCUCUAAAAUGCUGACAUCGUCCUCAAGUCGCUCGGCGUUACCUCUAAAACGCCGACAUCGUGUCAAGUCACUCGGCAUUACCUCUAAAAUGCUGACGUCGCCCUCUAGUCACUCGGUGUUGCCUCUAAAACGCUGAUAUCGUAUUCAGUCGCUCGGCAGUUAUCUCUAAAACUCCGAUAUUGUGUUCAAUCACUCAGCAGUUACUCUAAAAAGCGCCGACACCAUCUACAAAGUUACUCGACGACUAUUCCUAAAAGCAUCAGUUUGAUGCCCGAGUUAUUCAUUUACUGUCUCAAAGGAAUCAGCUUCACAAACGAGCAAUACAAGUCAUAAAGGAGAAGCCAACAUCAUUCUUUCAUUAAAAGGGAAGAUAACGCACUUACAAAUCAACUCUUUACGAGCUGAUACUUCCCUACUACUACUACAUUACAUUACUACUACUACUGCUACACUACGCUAUACUAUUCUACAUUACUACUACAUUAUUCUAACUAUACUAUACUAAUAUCUAAAAAACCAGUGGCAUCUAGCCACUGGCCCUGUUGCUGCCGCCGCCGCUGCCACCCCUGGUGCUGCCCCUGCUGGUGCCGCCCCGGUUGCUGCCCCUGCUGCCGCCGCCAUCACCGUCCUUGCUGCCGCCGCCGCUGCCCCUGACGCUGCCGCCACCGUCACCGUCGCCAUCGUCGUCGUCAUCGCCGUCGUCGUCGUCGUCGUCGUCGUCCUCGUCCUCGCCGCCGCCGUCCGAGUCCUCCUCAUCCGAGGAGUACUCUGACUCAUCCGAGCCCUCGAGCCCGGAGCGCUCGACGGCUCGGAUGUACGUCCAGACUUCCGCCGUGAGCCCCUGGGAGUCGUCUAAGUCAUCAGACGACUCCCGCAGGGGGACGGGAGCCGGAGACCCCUCCGACUCAGAGGAGAACUCCUCCUCUGAGUACUCCGAGUCACCAAACUCCUCCGAUGGAGGAGUUGGCUCACGCUUGCGCUUGUUGUUCUUGCCCAUGGUGGAAGCAGAAGGGAGAGAAGAGAGGGAAGCAGCAGAGAACAGCGAAGAGAUGUGAAAAAGCCAGAGAGACAACAGUGUUAUUUAUAGAAGGAGAAAUCAACCGCUCACCUCCAACUACGGCCACUGAACAGUCGCAAAGCAUUCAAUAAACACUUCAACCCAUCUGAAGACACGUCAGACGGCUGACGCCGUUUCACGCAACACAACACCCAUUGGGACUCCAGUCAACAGCGCGGAAGAUAUGAUUACACCCACCGUCACAUCACAUUACUACUCAGAAGCAGCCGGCUAAAACACUCAGCAUACCAAGCCGUCCCUUGCCCACACCCAUUGGGGGGGACGCCCAGGAAUUAUCAGUAUAUUUUUCAAAACGGUCACAUCUGUGCAGGGCACGCAGUGAAUACCUCAAGACAAAAAUGAGAUAUCAGUAAGGAUCAGAGGAAAGCCAAAUAUAGCCAGUAAAGUACAAAGCAUGGCCGACAGAAGCGAUGUGAAGACUAGACAGAGAACGUCCAUCAAACGUCCAAUCAGUCGCAGAGCAAAUAAAUUGCACUACCUAGCAGGAUAUGGAUGGAUUGCGAACUCGGCUGCUAAAGACAAAAUAUAUGCUGACCUCUGAAGCAAAAUAUUGAUGACAUAAUGCUGACCUCCAAAGCAUAAUGCGAAUAGCUUCAUGACAAUUUCUAUAAACAGAAAGGAUAAUUUUCAGCAAAGAGACACAAAAGGAAGACCUUCGAAUGGAUUAUCCUCAAAAAUCCAUUUGAAGGUCGGGGGCUACACCCAUUGGGUGCACCUCCGGUGCACCCCAUGGAUUAUCAUUCCAAGCCAAAAUAGUGCCGACUUCUAAGGCAUGGGACAAGAUUAAAAGGCCAGCCCUCAACCAAAACGCAGGAGCACAAAUGGAAAUAAUUUCUGGGGAAGACCUUCGAGUAGAUUAUUUUCUAAAAUCUACUCGAAGCUCGGGGGCUACACCCAUUGGGUGCACCUCCGGUGCACCCAAUGAAGUUCAGAAUCCUACGAAUUGAAAUGCUGACCUCUAAGGCACAAGCACGAAACUAGGCCCUGAUCUACGAGUGAUCAAAGCAGGAGAAGACAACAGGAAGUCAUUUUCUUCAAAUCACCUACAAGCUGUACCUGGGAUCUUUGGGCUGAUUACCUCUAAUUAAUCCAAAGAUCGGGGGCUUGUGGGGGAUAGAUAUCCCCCGGGUCCACUAAAAGAGUAAAAGACCUCACGAAAGGCCCAAGGGCCCAAUAAAUCGUGAGGUCAUUCUUUCGUGGGCCUGGGGAGAGACAACCAGCAAAGCAGAGCGACGUGAGGCCGGACUGGAGCAAACCCGGACGACCCACAACGUCGGGCGAGUGACCGCAACAGAGAUCUGACUUUCCCGCGCUGGAGCCCCCAUGCAACGGAGCCGUGCAGGGAUAAGUCGGCAGGGUUACGUGGAGAUAAACUCAAGCAGUUCACUAUCUUUUAGCUACUCGUUGUUAUCAUAUCCACAUGUAUUGCCCCAUGGUCGAGUAUAUAAGGCCUAGGGGGCACCCCUUCAGAACGAUCGACACUAUUACUUAGCCACUCACAUCAACUCUCUGCAGAGAGUUCUCUUGUAACCACAUUCACAAAGAAUACUCACCAGGACGUAGGGUGUUACGCAUCUCUAAGCGGCCCGAACCUGUAAACCUUGUCCACUGUUCCUCGUGCAAUCGGCACGAACCAUUUUGCUACAGUUGUCGACACCGUCCUACUCCUAAAAACACCUUGAGGGGCAACCCCAGGUGUGCGGUCGGACCCAAAACACCGACAGUCAUACUGGUUCUUGUGAAUUAGCCGAGGCAUGAACGGUUGUAGACGAUUUGCCAAUAGCUUCGUUAAGAUUUUCAUACUAUUAUUUAGAAGUGAAAUUGGCCUGUAAUCCCCCACCUUCUGAGGAUUCUCCAUCUUCGGAAUCAAGACAAUGAAAGACCCAUUGAUACUUCUAAGGCAGACCUCACCAUGAUGGAAUUUAUCACAAAGAUCAUAGAAAUCCGGGGCAAUGAUAUGCCAGCACUUCUUGAUAAAAUUUGUGUUGAAGCCAUCGGGACCCGGAGAUUUAUCCGAAGGUAAAAGUUUUAUAAUGCUAUCAAUCUCCAAUUUAGUAAAUGGUGAUUCUAACUCGUGAAGUUGCACAUCACUGGUUAAAAGUUCUGAAAGGUCAAAACCAAUGCCUGAAAAGUCAGACGAUCCCAAUCUGCACUUGAAAGCGUCCCAAAGAAGACCAGAUUUAAGUUCAUGCUCAAGUAAAGUGAUCCCAUUGUCGUCAGUCAAUGUAGCAAUUGAAUUAUUCCUGUGUCUAAUGGUGGCAUGAGCAUGGAAGAAGCGAGAACAAAUGUCUCCAUCAGAAACCCACCUAAUAGCCGCACGCUGCUUCCAAUAGAUUUUCUGAAUGUUAAGCAAUUCUGCCACCUUUUGCUGCAGAAUAUCUCUGAAAUUCCAUUCCUUAAUAGAUAGAUCUCGAUGCUCUUCCAUGAUGUCAAUAAGCUCAAUAAGCAGCUUGAUGUUCUUCACCGUUUUAUCAAUUUUUGGCAACGAACUCUGCCAGUCUUUCAGAACUUUCCUUACAUACUUGAACUUGGCAGUCAGGUUCUUAGCUUUGUCGGGGAUGCUAGGAAGCCCAUUCCAUGUAGCUUGGAAAAGAUUCAUGAAACCGUCCAAUUCAAGCCAGAAGUUUUCAAACCAGAAUAGCUUAGGUUUAGGAAUUCUAGACUUAAAUGAAACCAGACAAGGAACAUGAUCGGAAAUGUCUCUCGGCAUAGUCUUAGCAUGGGAGUCCGGGUAAAUGAUCGACCAUUCUUGGGAGAUGAAAAACCAAUCCAGCCUCUGAAGAAGAGGUUCCCGCUGUCUGUUCGACCAUGUGAAAGUUAGCCCGUGCAGGGGAAUUUCAAUCAAGUCUAAGUUGCUAAUUGCUUCAUUGAACUUCAACAUAAGGUUAGUAUCACCCCCAAUCCUAUUCCUGUCCUGUGGCCGACGGAUUAAGUUGAAAUCACCAACGAGAAGCCAGAGUUUGUCAGAAGGCAUUGUGAAAUUAUGCAGCCAAUUAAGGAAAUCAAUUUUGCCAUGAUGGGUACAAGGAGCAUAAACAUUUGUAAUAAUCCAAGAACAAGCCGACAAAUUUGAAGUGAAUUCCACCGACUGGGCAUAAUUGUUUUGAAAGAUAACAUUCCCGGAAAGCCUUGAGCUCUUCCAAAUGAUAACAGAUCCUCCCGAGUUCCCCGUCGCGGGUACAAAAGCAAAAGAGUCAAAAUGAGCAGGGCAAAAGUUUUUAAGGUAAGCCGAGUCAAAGAACUCCUUUUUUGUUUCUUGCAAACAAAUAACCUCACAAUCAGCAUCCCGAAUAGCACAACGAAUAGCAUUCCACUUCACGGUGGAGUUAAUCCCUCUAACGUUGUGGCUCAACACAGACCACUCCCGGAAGUUAACAGUAUUGGGAUUACUCAUUGAGUAAAUAAGAAGUUUUUGAGGCAGAGCAAUACCCAGACCAGAGGGUAAAGCCAGAUUCAGUCCACAAGCAAAAUAUUAACAGAACAUUAAAACAAGCACGCACAGGUGCUAACCAAGUAUCCAGAAGACCUGCAUGAGUCAAAAGUAAAACCAAUCCCACCCAAAAGUUUAUGGGGCCCACUCCAGAGCCCAGAUCUCCCCCCGUCCGCUUAUUGUUUGUCUUGCUUAUCUUCAUCGGAUGAAUCAUCAGUACUGUCAUCCUCCAGAUCCUUCCUGCCAACCCUCCACUGACCAACAGGUCCCACAGCUGAUUUCUUUUGCUUUAGUCUCUGCUCAGAAAGGUCAUCCUCAGACAGGUUACAAAACCUGGAGCCCAGAUUCCGCAGCACCUUGGAGGAUAGCGGGAGGGGCCAUCGAAGUUAUGUUGGCACAUGAGGCAGUUCCUUUUUGGGCAGGCCCCUUGCCUGAACCCAGCACGUGAUUCUUUCAAACGUUUGCUUCUUCUAAGCUCCGACUCCACAAUGAUUGGUGACGGCCCACCACAACCGCCAGAAACCUUGGAGAUCCCAGAAAUGACAUCCUCCAUGGAGGAAUCAUUCGGACAUUCCUUAGGGACCACAAAAGGGAUGGAUUUCAUUCCCUGCUCCUGCAAAGUUGAGGGAAUAUCUGACAGCAGAAAGGUCUUGGACCAAUUGAAAGUGUCAGGCUGAAGCAGAUUCGAAAGGAAAAAGGGUGCCCACUUCUUAGGGAUGUCCACCGAGUGGUCAGCCGACCCAGCAGGAUCAAAAUAUUUGGCCCAGAGUCUAGAGAACUGGGCAGCUUUUUUUCUUUCCUCAAACAUCUGGAAAACGGGGUCAGGCAGCCAUUCCUGAGAGAACAUGAAGUUCAUCUCCAAAUUCUGAGGGUGAUUAUUGUUAGGCUCACCAACAUGGGCCUGGAGAGGCAAGUCCUCCAAAUCAAUGACAUGGUCCACCUGAUGCACCGGUCCAUCAACCUCUUGAGGCCCAACGAGAGGGGCAUCCCCAGGCAACAUAUGUCCAUUUUCCACAAAAUGCCCAUUCGGAAGAGGUGCAAGCUGACCAGCACCAAUGGAGCUAUCAGAUGAUAAGCCAGAGUGCUGGUUACUGAGUUGUAUCUCAUCCUGCUGAACGUGUUGCUCUUCUGGCACUAUGGGCAGCGGAGCCUACAGAUUGGGCUGGUCAUUCACAAUCCACUGGUCCCAAUCUCCCUGGCCAAAGUCCUCCUGCUGAGCCGGCAGCUCGCCACCCGCAGGCUCCGGAGGGAAAUUUAGGUCAAACCCUGCCGGGGGCACGGGCUGGCCCAGCCCGAAGAAGACCAGGGGGAGCUGGUGGCCAUCCUCGGGAGCCGGGGGGAUGGGGUCCUCAUCCUGAGCUUGGCCGCCAAACAUGAGUUGCUGAAUAAUUUCACAUUGAACAGUCCAAGAGUCACCAGCAAAUCCCUCAGCCUCCGAGAAAACAAUAAAUUGGGGGUCCUCAUCAAGUGAAGUGACACGAACACGAAGCAAGGUUCUAGAGAUAUUACUCCGAUCCUCCUCCCAGAGAAUCAGCCUUCCAAACGAUCCAAUGGCAGCCUGCAGGUAUUCUGAAGAACGAUAAUCCAAAGGAAACCCCAGAAGCAUUAGCCAGCAUUCAUGGUUGAAAAGAAGAGCCCGGUGGUUCCAAGCAUCAUUGUGACGGACCGCGGUGAAAGUAGCAUCCAGAUAUUGCUGGGGGCCCAGCAAAACCAAAUUAUCCCGAUCCAGAACACUACAAAACUACACUAUCACCUGCCCCAAGUGCGAGCGCUGAAUGGCACGAACACUGAACCGACGAUGCUCAACAAGAUACUCCCUGACCACAUCUCUGACCGCAGGGAACAAAACCUCGUGCUCAGGUAAAGGAUGAAUAUUGAUAAUCGCCCAGUCCUCAUGCAUUGGCGGCAAACGCUGCGAGACUGACCUGACCAUGAUCCCACGGUGCUGGACCACCGCGGCGCUGAAGCCUGGUGGUAGGAACGGCUCCGGGUCCACUCGCCGGUACGCCAUUGCCAGAUUCUCAGAAGGUCGCCGGAGAGCCAAGAGCAAAGGAGCGGUUUGGGGUUUUGGUGAAGUGACGCCCAGCGAGAGCUCCAAGGACGUUUCGGGCGCCUGUUCGUAUAUUUUUAAUAAGACCGCCCUGGCGAAUUCACCGAAGCAGGCAAAGGCAGGAGGAGUCCCACCCGUCAGGGAUCCGGGUGAAGGGCGGAACCAGGACCCGAAGUCCAAGAGGCGAGACGACCCCUCCAAAAGGCAAUUACUUUCGAAGGAAGGGAACGAGGAGAGGGGGAAACCAAAUUCCAAUUUCUUACGAUUGCAGAACAAUUCCAAAUGCCCCCUGGCAUUACAAAAAUGGCAGAGAAACGCUGAGGAAACCGAGCCAGACAAAUCCGUCCUUCCAAGAUAGGGGUGGGCCGAAGGGCCCAGCCCAGGCCUGAAAGGCCCAUUACGAAGAAUGGACCACCAACGAAGCCUACGGGUCCUGGGGAACCUAGCAGCAGAAUUUGAAAUUGAAGAGGAGCAAUCAUCACGGCCCUGACGCCCGCGUCCAAUCACGCAUCCGUUAAGCCCAGGAAGACCCACAGAAGGAAAAGGCCUGCAAUGGAGAGCAUGCGACGAGGCUCCCGAAACCUCGAGCCCCGCGCACCUGAGGAGGAUCCCAAUCUAUUGAAGACAGAAAUCCUCGGCGCAUUCAAAAUUCCAGCAAAGCGGGAAGAAGGAUUAUGACGACGAAUUGGGACAGCGUUUGCACCGGACAACGGCGGACGCCUAACCAUAUCAGCGAACGAGAUUUUUUUCCUGCCCUUAACAAACCACCAGUUGGCAUUCUCCUCUUGAAGGAAUAAUCUGAGUUCAUAAUUCCAAUUGGGUCCACCAGAGUUCCACAAGUUGAAGAAGGCUUUGAAUUCCGGACGGACAAUGCAUCUAGAGUUGUAAAUAUGGAACCCAACAUCCUUGGAGGAAACCGUGAAUCGAAAAACUCGGUCAGCAAGCGAGAGGACCUUGAAUCCCCUGGCAAAACCACCAAAAGCAGCUUGAAGAAGAUGACCAACCGAAACCGAGUCGAGCUUGAAGAUGCAUCUUCCAAAUGAGACAACUAGCCAAAAGGCCGACGGUGAAUUCGGACUUCCAGAGCAAACAGGAACAGAAAACCGGCGCCUAACAUCCGCCUCAAAUAACGAGCCCGGCCGGAAGUCCAAACGAGAGAGAUCCAUCAUCCAACACGAAGAGGACCAAGCGGGAAGGGGGAGAGCGAAGAAGACCAAGAAGAGGGGAGAGGAAAGACCCAGCGAGCACCUUCAGAGCUCCCACCCCGCGUCCAAAGACGCCGGCCAGGGGGCAGCCUGGUGGUGCGCGGCAUCCCCGCCGGAGGAAGCCAUUCCGCCUCGCGCUGGAGGGCGUGUAAUCUCUUUUCUGAAGGAAAAAAAGCUCGCCGGAUCGCUUUAUUACUUAUAAUUAUAUAUAUGCAUUUCCAAAAUCCAAACAAAAAGUUACCAAAGAUCUUAGAUAUAUAUGUAGAGAUGCAUGACAAGUAAGCACUGCACAGACCUGGAAGCGACAGAUGUAGUAGGUGGGUCCGCAGGUGCGGUGGAAGUAGUCGGUGGGCGUGACGGCGGCGGCGCCGGCGCGGAUGAAGAUGUGCCGCAUGAAGGCGACGCUGGUGUUGACGAGAGCCGCCACCCGGUCCGGCCGGAACAGGCACAGGUACCACGCGAUGUGGGGAGAAUCUGGCUGUGAGGAGAAUCUGAGUAUCAUUACGAUUACGUGUGGAGGAAGAUAAAGUUGUUCAUAGGGCUCAGGAUCUAGAAAGUGACGGAUUCCUACUAUUACAACGACUUAACCGAUUAUGUGUUAAUGUUGAUUUUGGAUGGUUUUUGCCGCAACGGAUUUUAUAGAAGCUGGCUGAAAAGCUGAGCGUUUGGCGGUCCGCAGCAGCUUUUGGUGGCUAGAAACUGCCAGAAGCUGAAACAAACAGGGCCGUUGGCGCCCCAGUCGUGACCCACCACGAACACCUAUCCUCGCAGAAGCAAUGAGUGCAGCCGGCCUUGAGAUUAAUCGAUGCAGUACUCUAGUCUGUAGUAUAUAUACGAUACUGCCAGGACUAUUUGGUAGAGAGAGUAGAGUUGAGUUCAGUACUUGAAGGUGUGUUUCUGCGAGCUCUUUCGGCCAAUGGGGAAAAAGACACAACUAAUGAUGCCAGUUAGAAGAAAAAAGACACAACUAAGCUUCUAACGAGUAAUAUUUACAUUUAUUGCUCUUAAUUAAUAUAUAUUUUAGAAUUAUUGUAAUGAGAUUUAUUUGGUAUCACCGGGCCAACUUUGGCCACUGCCAGUAUAGGUGUACAUUUGGGCUGAGCCUGAUGGGCCGGCCCGAAGCACGAAAAAAAAGCACGGCCAGGCACGGCACGGCCCGAAAUAAUUUAGUGUCGGGCCGGGUUUGGGCCGAGGUCACGGCCCAUUGGACGGGCACGAGCACGGCCCGUAUAAGGUAGACACGAAAUGGCCCAUAUAGAGGCACAAAAAGGUCUAUAUAUUUAUUAAAACCACACUUCAUUCCACACUUUCGUAUACUUGAUAAAGAACACAAAGAUUGAGAUAAUGCUAGUUAGAUAUUUUUUGUAGCUUUGAAUUAGAGUGUGUGAUGUAAUUUUACUUUUGUUAUGAACAUUAGACAAUAAACUAAACUUACGAACUUUGUAUAGAGCUGAUGAUACUCUUUUUUCUUCUAACAAAAUGAUUUAUAAACGAGGUAGUCAUUGCAUAGCUAUGGUAACUUUAAUACAAAUAUUAAGUUUGAUUUUGUUCAAAUUUAUUUGUCUUAUCUUUUAUUUGUUUUUUUAAUUUAGGGCUCUAAUGUGAAUUUUGAGCAAAAAACUGAAUUUCGGGCCCUAAUGUGAAUUUUGGGCCAAAAAUUGAAUUUCGGACUUUUAUAAUUUCGGGCCGCCCGAAAUAAGCCCGGCACGUUUAAGCAAUUACGGGCCGGGCCGUGGGCCGAUGGCUAGGCCCAUGGGCCGGCCCGGCACGACCCAAAAUUCAAACGGGCCGGGCCGACCCGAAAUUCAAACAAUACGGCCCUUUUCGGACUUGGGCCGGGUCGGGCCGGGCGGCCCGAAUGUACACCUAUAACUGCCAGUAAAACAACCCUGUUAGGCCAGGCCCGUCUUUGAGUCUAUUUGGUUUAGUUUUUUUCUGACUAACUUUUCUAGAAUAUGACUAUAUAGCGAAUCUGAGUAUCGUUGGUAUUACGAGCGGAAGAAGAUGGAGGUAUCCAUAGUGUUCAGGAUCUAGAAAGUGACAGAUUCCUACUAUUGUAACUACUCGACCGAUUAUGUGUGUAUGAUGAUUUUGGAUGGUUUUUAACAAAUUGGUUUUAUAGAAGCUAGCUGAAAAACUUAGCGUUAGUGAAAGGGAAAUGUGCCCUUGGGCCAUUUCUAAGUAUUUUGGUGAUUGAGUGUCAACACAAGUGCUUAAAUGUGAAUCAAUGCCCAUGGAUGAACAAAGUGCAAAUCUAGAGCAAAGGUAUGUUUCUAAGUCUUAGUACAUUGGUUUUGUGUACUAAUAUACUUGUCUAAGUAUUAGAAACAGGAAGAAGAAGAAAAGAAGAGAGUUGGCUGUGUACAGCCAAGAGGCUGUUUCGGUCUGGGGCACCGGACUGUCCGGUGGUGCACCGGACAGUGUCCGGUGGUGCACCGGACAGUGUCCGGUGCGCCAGGCUGCCUCGGCCGAAGAGGCCGCUCUCGGGAAUUUGCUGACGGCGUACGGCUAAAAUUCACCGGACUGUCCGGUGUGCACCGGACUGUCCGGUGAGCCAACGGUCGGCCGGGCCAACGGUCGGCCGCGCGAUCUGCGCGGGACACGUGGCCAAGCCAACGGUCGGAAGGGGGCACCGGACUGUCCGGUGUGCACCGGACAUGUCCGGUGCGCCAACGGCUCCCAGAUCUCCAACGGUCGACUGCACUGUUUAAGGAAGGAAAUCGGGCACCGGACAGUGUCCGGUGUGCACCGGACUGUCCGGUGCGCCCGACGACAGAAGGCAAGGAUGGCCUUCUGGAUUUGUUCUCAACGGCUCCUAGCUGCCUUGGGGCUAUAAAAGGGACCCCUAGGCGCAUGGAGGAGUACACCAAGCAACCUUAGAGCAUUCUUGAUCAUCCACACUCAGUCCUUGCGCAUCCGUUUGUCAUUCUCAGUGAUUCGAGCUCCGUUCUAGUGAGAACUUUGAGAUAGUCUUUUGAGCUCGAUUCUUGGUCGUGUGUGUGCGCAUUUUGCUGUGGAUUUGUGUGUGUUGCUUCCCUCCCUUACUCCGUAUUUCUUUGUGAAUCUCAAGUGUAAGGGCGAGAGACUCCAAGUUGUGGAGAUUCCUCGCAAACGGGAUAUUGAAAGGAAAAGCAUAACACUGUGGUAUUCAAGUUGAUCAUUGGAUCACUUGAGAGGAGUUGAGUGCAACUCUCGUCCGUUGGGACGCCACAACGUGGAGUAGGCAAGUUUUGUACUUGGCCGAACCACGGGAUAAACCACUGUGUCUUCUCUGUGUUGAUCUUUUGUGGUAUUAUGUUUUGUUGAGACUCAUCUCUAGCCACUUGGCGAUUAUUGUGCUAACACUUAACAAGUUUUUGUGGCUAUAAGUUUAAGUUUCACAGGAUCACCUAUUCACCCCCCCCCUCUAGGUGCUCUCAAUUGGUAUCAGAGCCAUUCUCUUCAAGAAGGGACUAAUCGCCCGAAGAGAUGGAUCCUAAGGGAAAGGGGAUGGUGGUCGACAACAACGAGAAGGAGUCUAUCUUCAACGAGCCGAAGAAUGACAAGUCUACCGACUUGGGCUCAAGUCACAAGCGCAAAGAUGGGAAGAAGAAGAAGACAAGGCGCAUCAAGGAGAUCGUCUACUACGACAGCGACGAAUCCUCUUCUUCCCAAAAGGACGACGACAACGACUACAGGAAGACGGUCAAUUCGAACUUUUCAUUUGAUUAUUCUCGUAUUCCACAUAGUUCGAAUUCGCAUUUGCUUUCCAUUCCUCUUGGCAAACCUCCACACUUUGAUGGGGAGGACUACAGAUUUUGGAGUCACAAAAUGCAUAGUCAUUUAUUCUCUCUCCAUCCAAGCAUAUGGGAGAUUGUAGAGAAUGGAAUGAAAUUUGAUAGCUCGGAUAGCCCUAUGUUUAUUAAUGAACAAAUUCAUAAAAAUGCACAAGCUACUACUGUGUUGCUAGCCUCUUUGUGCAGGGACGAGUACAAUAAGGUGAGCGGCUUGGACAAUGCCAAGCAGAUAUGGGACACCCUCAAGAUUUCUCACGAGGGGAACGACAUCACCAUGCUCACUAAAAUGGAGUUGGUGGAGGGCGAGCUUGGAAGGUUUGCAAUGAUAAGGGGCGAGGAGCCAACCCAAACAUACAACCGGCUCAAGACCCUUAUCAACAAAAUAAGGAGUUAUGGAAGCACGCGAUGGACGGACCAUGACGUCGUCCGACUAUUACUAAGGUCCUUUACCAUUCUUGAUCCUCAUUUGGUGAAUAAUAUUCGUGAGAAUCCCAGGUACACCAAAAUGUCGCCCGAAGAAGUCCUAGGAAAAUUCGUCAGCGGGCGAAUGAUGAUUAAGGAAGCAAGGUACGUGGACGACGCCUUGAAUGGACCGAUCAACGAGCCGCAACCUCUUGCUCUCAAAGCAACAAGAAGCAAGGAGGCGCUACCCAGCAAGGUGGCACAAAUUGAGGCGGCCGGACUUAAUGAUGAAGAGAUGGCUCUCAUCAUCAAACGCUUCAAGACGGUGCUAAAAGGUCACAAGGGGCAGCCAAGCAAGACCAAGACAAAGGGGAAGCGGUCAUGCUUCAAGUGCGGUAAGAUUGGUCAUUUUAUCGCUAACUGCCCCGAUAACGAUAGUGACCAGGAACAGGGGAACAAGAGGGAAAAGAAGAAGAAUUACAAGAAGGCCAAGGGCGAGGCACAUAUCGGAAAGGAGUGGGAUUCGGAUUGCUCCUCCGACUCCGACAAUGAAGGACUCGCCGCCACCGCCUUCAACAAGUCAUCUCUCUUCCCCAACGAGCGUCACACUUGCCUCAUGGCAAGAGAGAAGAAAGUAAGUACUCGAAACUCUACUUAUGCUUCUUCAAGUGAGGAUGAGUCUAGUGAUGAUGAUGACAUAGACUAUUCAUACCUAUUUAAGGGCUUAGAUAGAACCAAGGUAGAUAAAAUAAAUGAAUUGAUUGAUGCCUUGAAUGAUAAAAAUAGGCUUUUAGAAAAGCAAGAGGAUUUGUUGUAUGAAGAACAUGACAAAUUUGUAGAAGCACAAAAAUCACUUGCAUUAGAGAUUAAGAGAAAUGAAAUGCUUUCUUGUGAGUUGUCUACAUGUCAUGAUUCAAUUGCUAGUUUGAAGAGCAAAAAUGAUGAUUUAAAUGCUAAACUAGAAAAAUCUAGUAAAUCAACAUCUUGUGUAGAACAUGUUGAGAUUUGCACUAGGUGUAAAGAUUUCGAUGUUGAUGCCUGUAGUGAUCAUUUAGUUUCAAUUUCCAAACUAACUGAGGAAUUGGCUAGUCUUAAUGCCCAACUUAAGACUAGCAAGAAUGAAUUUGAUAAACUAAAAUUUGCAAGGGAUGCCUACACGAUCGGUAGACACCCCUCAAUUAAGGAUGGACUUGGCUACAAAAGGGAAGCCAAGAACUUGACAAGCCAUAAGGCUCCCAUCUCCGCCAAGGAGAAAGGGAAGGCCCCUAUGGCUACUAGUGCUAAAAAGAAUCAUGCCUUUUUGUAUCAUGAUAGGAGACAAAUUAGAAAUGCUUAUAGGAGUUAUAAUGCUUACGAUGAUUUUUCUCAUGCUAUGUUUGCUUCUAGUUCUUCAUAUGUGCAUGAUAAAAAUGUUGGUAGAAGGAAUAUUGUUCAUAAUAUGCCUAGGAGAAAUGUUGUUAAUAUUCCUAGGAAAGUUAAUGAGCCUUCUACAAUAUAUCAUGCUUUGAAUGCUUCCUUUGCAAUUUGUAGAAAGGACAGAAAGGUGAUUGCUAGGAAGUUAGGGGCAAAAUGCAAGGGUGAUAAAACUUGCAUUUGGGUCCCUAAGACAAUUGUGACUAACCUUGUAGGACCCAACAAGAGUUGGGUACCUAAGUCCCAAGCCUAAAUUUGCCUUGCAGGUUUAUGCAUCCGGGGGUUCAAGCUGGAUUAUCGACAGCGGAUGCACAAACCAUAUGACGGGGGAGAAGAAGAUGUUCACCUCCUACGUCAAGAAUAAGGAUUCCCAAGAUUCAAUUAUAUUCGGUGAUGGGAAUCAAGGCAAGGUAAAAGGGCUAGGUAAAAUUGCAAUCUCCAAUGAGCAUUCUAUCUCUAAUGUGUUUUUAGUGGAGAGUCUUGGAUAUAAUUUGCUAUCUGUUAGUCAAUUAUGUCAUAUGGGAUAUAACUGUCUAUUUACAAAUGUAGAUGUGUCUGUCUUUAGAAGAAGUGAUGGUUCACUAGCUUUUAAGGGUGUAUUAGACGGCAAGCUCUACUUAGUUGAUUUUGCAAAAGAAGAGGCCGGUCUAGAUGCAUGCUUAAUUGCUAAGACUAGCAUGGGCUGGCUGUGGCAUCGCCGCUUAGCACAUGUGGGGAUGAAGAACCUUCACAAGCUUCUAAAGGGAGAACACGUGAUAGGGUUGACUAACGUACAAUUCGAAAAAAAUAGACCUUGUGCAGCUUGUCAAGCAGGUAAACAGGUGGGAGGAGCGCAUCACAGCAAGAAUGUGAUGACCACUUCAAGACCCUUGGAGCUGCUGCAUAUGGACCUCUUCGGACCCGUCGCCUAUCUGAGCAUAGGGGGAAGUAAGUAUGGUCUAGUUAUUGUUGAUGACUUUUCCCGCUUCACUUGGGUGUUCUUUUUGCAGGAUAAGUCUGAAACCCAAGGGACCCUCAAGCGCUUCCUAAGGAGAGCUCAAAAUGAGUUUGAGCUCAAGGUGAAGAAGAUAAGGAGCGACAACGGGUCCGAGUUCAAGAAUCUUCAAGUGGAAGAAUUCCUUGAGGAGGAAGGGAUCAAGCACGAGUUCUCCGCUCCCUACACACCACAGCAAAAUGGUGUAGUAGAGAGGAAGAACAGGACGCUAAUCGAUAUGGCGAGGACGAUGCUUGGAGAAUUCAAGACCCCCGAGUGUUUCUGGUCGGAAGCCGUGAACACGGCUUGCCACGCCAUCAACAGGGUCUACCUACAUCGCCUCCUCAAGAAGACUUCGUAUGAGCUACUAACCGGUAACAAACCCAAUGUAUCCUACUUUCGUGUUUUUGGAAGCAAAUGCUACAUUCUAGUGAAGAAAGGUAGAAAUUCUAAAUUUGCUCCAAAAGCUGUAGAAGGGUUUUUGUUAGGUUAUGACUCAAAUACAAAGGCGUAUAGAGUCUUCAACAAAUCAUCGGGUUUGGUUGAAGUCUCUAGCGACGUUGUAUUUGAUGAGACUAAUGGCUCUCCAAGAGAGCAAGUUGUUGAUUGUGAUGAUGUAGAUGAAGAAGAUGUUCCGACGGCCGCUAUACGAACCAUGGCGAUUGGAGAAGUACGGCCACAGGAACAAGAUGAACGUGAUCAACCUUCUUCCUCAACAACGGUGCAUCCCCCAACUCAAGACGAUGAACAGGUUCAUCAACAGGAGGCGUGUGAUCAAGGGGGAGCACAAGAUGAUCAUGUGAUGGAGGAAGAAGCGCAACCGGCACCUCCAACCCAAGUUCGAGCGAUGAUUCAAAGGGAUCAUCCCGUCGACCAAAUUCUGGGUGACAUUAGCAAGGGAGUAACUACUCGAUCUCGAUUAGUUAACUUUUGUGAGCAUUACUCCUUUGUCUCUUCUAUGGAGCCUUUCAGGGUAGAGGAGGCCCUGCUAGAUCCGGACUGGGUAUUGGCCAUGCAGGAAGAACUCAACAAUUUCAAGAGAAAUGAAGUUUGGACACUGGUGCCUUGUCCCAAGCAAAAUGUUGUGGGAACCAAGUGAGUGUUCCGCAACAAACAAGACGAGCACGGGGUGGUGACAAGGAACAAGGCUAGACUUGUGGCAAAAGGUUAUGCCCAAGUCGCAGGUUUGGACUUUGAGGAGACAUUUGCUCCUGUGGCUAUACUAGAAUCAAUUCGUAUCUUGCUAGCAUAUGCCGCUCACCAUUCUUUCAGGUUGUUCCAAAUGGAUGUGAAGAGCGCUUUCCUCAACGGGCCAAUCAAGGAGGAGGUGUAUGUGGAGCAACCCCAUGGCUUCGAGGAUGAACGGUACCCCGACCACGUGUGUAAGCUCUCUAAGGCGCUCUAUGGACUUAAGCAAGCCCCAAGAGCAUGGUAUGAAUGCCUUAGAGACUUUUUACUUGCUAAUGCUUUCAAGGUUGGGAAAGCCGAUCCAACUCUUUUUACUAAGACAUGUGAUGGUGAUUUGUUUGUGUGCCAAAUUUAUGUCGAUGACAUAAUAUUUGGUUCUACUAACCAAAAGUCUUGUGAAGAGUUUAGCAGGGUGAUGACGCAGAAAUUCGAAAUGUCGAUGAUGGGCGAGUUGAACUAUUUCCUUGGGUUCCAAGUGAAGCAACUCAAGGACGGCACCUUCAUCUCCCAAACGAAGUACACACAAGACUUGCUGAAGCGGUUUGGGAUGAAGGACGCCAAGCCCGCAAAGACUCCUAUGGGGACUGACGGACACACCGACCUCAACAAAGGAGGUAAGUCCGUUGAUCAAAAAGCAUACCGGUCCAUGAUAGGUUCCUUGCUUUACUUAUGUGCUAGUAGACCGGAUAUUAUGCUUAGUGUAUGCAUGUGUGCUAGAUUUCAAUCCGAUCCUAAGGAGUGUCACUUAGUGGCGGUGAAGCGAAUUCUGAGAUAUUUAGUUGCUACGCCUUGCUUCGGGCUCUGGUAUCCAAAGGGGUCUACCUUUGACUUGGUUGGAUACUCAGACUCCGACUAUGCUGGAUGUAAGGUCGAUAGGAAGAGUACAUCAGGGACGUGCCAAUUCUUAGGAAGGUCCCUGGUGUCGUGGAACUCUAAGAAACAAACCUCUGUUGCCCUAUCCACCGCUGAGGCCGAGUACGUUGCCGCAGGACAGUGUUGCGCGCAACUGCUUUGGAUGAGGCAAACCCUCCGGGACUUUGGCUACAAUCUAAGCAAAGUCCCACUCCUAUGUGAUAAUGAGAGUGCUAUCCGCAUGGCGGAGAAUCCUGUUGAGCACAGCCGCACAAAGCACAUAGACAUCCGACAUCACUUCUUGAGAGACCACCAGCAAAAGGGAGAUAUCGAAGUAUUUCAUGUUAGCACCGAGAACCAGCUAGCCGAUAUCUUUACCAAGCCUCUAGAUGAGAAGACCUUUUGCAGGUUGCGUAGUGAGCUAAAUGUCUUAGAUUCGCGGAACUUGGAUUGAAUUGUAGCAUACUUGUAUUUAUGCUUUUGAAUCAUGUUCCUUUCUGCAUUUUGUUGCUUAUUGUGGUGCUCAAGUUGUACAAACACUCCCUGGACCUCACAAGUCCGUUGCAAAGUGAUGCACAUGUUUAGGGGGAGAUGUGUUACAACUUGACCCUUUGAGACUAACCAUGUGCUUGAGUUGAUGAUUUAGUCUCAAAGGAGGAUUGAAAGGGAAAAGGUGGACUUGGACCAUGAAAGACUUCCACUGCACUCCGAUGAGAGGGUAACUUAUUCCAAGUUCAUCUUUAAAUUCUCAUUGCCUAUUUGUUCUUAAUUGAAGAUUUUGGUGAGGCAAUGGGGUUAAAAGGGGCCAAGAUUGAUCCCGUUUUGGUGCUUGAUGCCAAAGGGGGAGAAAAUAACGGCCAAAGUGAAAAAUGGAUCAGCUACCACUUGAGAGAUUUUGAAAAUAGUAGAAGAGAGCGUUUUGUGUUGACAAAACUCUUUUAUUAUUUCUCUUGUCAAAAGUUGGCCUCUUGUGGGGAGAAGUGUUGAUUAUGGGAAAAAGGGGAAGUUUUUGAAAUCUUUGAUCAAUCUCUUUUGGAAUGACUCUCUUUAUGCUUCAACAUGUGCGUUUGACUUAGAGACAGAGAUUUGAGUUUGAUUUGCAAAAACAAACCAAGUGGUGGCAAAGGAUGAUCCAUAUAUGCCAAAAUUGAAUCAAAAUCAAUUUGAGUUUUAUUUGAAGUGAUUUUGCACUUGUUCUAGUUGCUUUAUGUUGUGUUGGCAUAAAUCACCAAAAAGGGGGAGAUUGAAAGGGAAAUGUGCCCUUGGGCCAUUUCUAAGUAUUUUGGUGAUUGAGUGUCAACACAAGUGCUUAAAUGUGAAUCAAUGCCCAUGGAUGAACAAAGUGCAAAUCUAGAGCAAAGGUAUGUUUCUAAGUCUUAGUACAUUGGUUUUGUGUACUAAUAUACUUGUCUAAGUAUUAGAAACAGGAAGAAGAAGAAAAGAAGAGAGUUGGCUGUGUACAGCCAAGAGGUUGUUUCGGUCUCGGGCACCGGACUGUCCGGUGGUGCACCGGACAGUGUCCGGUGGUGCACCGGACAGUGUCCGGUGUGCCAGGCUGCCUCGGCCGAAGAGGCCGCUCUCGGGAAUUUGCUGACGGCGUACGGCUAAAAUUCACCGGACUGUCCGGUGUGCACCGGACUGUCCGGUGAGCCAACGGUCGGCCGCGCGAUCUGCGCGGGACACGUGGCCAAGCCAACGGUCGGAAGGGGGCACCGGACUGUCCGGUGUGCACCGGACAUGUCCGGUGCGCCAACGGCUCCCAGAUCUCCAACGGUCGACUGCGCUGUUUAAGGAAGGAAAUCGGGCACCGGACAGUGUCCGGUGUGCACCGGACUGUCCGGUGCGCCCGACGACAGAAGGCAAGGAUGGCCUUCUGGAUUUGUUCUCAACGGCUCCUAGCUGCCUUGGGGCUAUAAAAGGGACCCCUAGGCGCAUGGAGGAGUACACCAAGCAACCUUAGAGCAUUCUUGAUCAUCCACACUCAAUCCUUGCGCAUCCGUUUGUCAUUCUCAGUGAUUUGAGCUCCGUUCUAGUGAGAACUUUGAGAUAGUCUUUUGAGCUCGAUUCUUGGUCGUGUGUGUGCGCAUUUUGCUGUGAAUUUGUGUGUGUUGCUUCCCUCCCUUACUCCGUAUUUCUUUGUGAAUCUCAAGUGUAAGGGCGAGAGACUCCAAGUUGUGGAGAUUCCUCGCAAACGGGAUAUUGAAAGGAAAAGCAUAACACUGUGGUAUUCAAGUUGAUCAUUGGAUCACUUGAGAGGAGUUGAGUGCAACUCUCGUCCGUUGGGACGCCACAACGUGGAGUAGGCAAGUUUUGUACUUGGCCGAACCACGGGAUAAACCACUGUGUCUUCUCUGUGUUGAUCUUUUGUGGUAUUAUGUUUUGUUGAGACUCAUCUCUAGCCACUUGGCGAUUAUUGUGCUAACACUUAACAAGUUUUUGUGGCUAUAAGUUUAAGUUUCACAGGAUCACCUAUUUACCCCCCCCCUCUAGGUGCUCUCAGUUAGGUAGUCCUCGACAGAUUUUGGUGGCUAGAAACUAUAAAAAAAGUUGUAACAAAUAGGCCUUUUGUGUGCGCAGCUGGUGUUUCAAGUGGUUUUUGAGUUCCUGUCUCUUUUUUUUAUCGGUUUGUUUCUAUGGUUUCCUAAUUAGCUGAGAAACUUCUCUAAGUUAUUACACCACUAAUUGACUUAGGUGGUUUGAGUUUGUGCUUCUUCUACCCUUCAGUGGUUUCAGAGGCUUUUGAUGCUGUGAUUGGUAUGUUGCUAGAUUAAGGGGACAUUAUCUUGCUUAAGGCAACACAACAUGCCUAAGCUUAGGCAGAAAAUGGUUAGGUACUUUGUGGUGUCUUAGACAGAAAACCAAACAACCCCUAAAUAUAAGUGCUCCGUUGUUUUUAUCGGUCGUCACAGAUAAUAUAUAUCUAGCCAUUGUUUACCCUGUAAGCUACCCAUUUGACAUUUCUAUUGUUUUAAGGGCUUAGAUGAAGUUUUAGAAAACAAGAUUAAAUUGCAUAGAUGAGAACUUUUGUAUUACCUUAUAUACGUUCACACUUUUUCCAUUAUAUCAUCAUCUGAUAUGAUCUUUCAUGUUUUGAUAAUAAUAGACAUAAUAAAAUUUAAGGAUCUGGUCGGAUUAGGAUCGAGCUUUAUUUUUAUUUAUUUUUAACUAAAAUUAAUGAAUAAUCCGAACAAAUUGUGAAGAUGCAUUUGUAUUGUGAUCCAUUACCACCCCUACACUACCGUGUUACAAUUUUGCACUGAAAUUUUCAAAAUUUCCUUAAUUUCGGUGGGGUCCAAAAAUAUAUGUUUCUAAAAUUGGCAUUUUUAAUAUAAAUUAUAUAUUUUUUGUUUUAGAAAAUAUUAAAUCUAUUUGAUUUUAACAUAGAAUUUCGGAAAUUUCAUGUUUUUCACCCGGCGACGAUGUCGCCCUGCUCGGCGCGUCCUACUCACCUUGUUGUGGAUGCCAAGCGCGUCGAGGAGGGCGACGAUGUCGCCGACGACGUGGAAGGCUGAGUAGGACGCGACGUCGGGCGGCGCGGCGGUGCCGCCGUAGCCGCGGAGGUCCGGCGCCACGCAGCGGUAGCCCCGCGCGGCCAGGUGCGCCAUCUGGUGGCGCCACGAGUACCAGAGCUCCGGGAAGCCGUGCAGGAACACCACCGCGGGCGCGCCGUCGCCGUCGGGGCCGGACUCCGCCACGUGCAUCGAGAUGCCGUUCGCCUCCACCGUCCGGUGCCGGACCGCCGCCGCAUCCAUGCUCGCGCCGGCUGGUGCUAGGUGCUAGCUGGUCUCGCGCGCUCUCGGCUCACGUACGGCCGGCGGACGUCGUCGUCGUCGCUCUCGCUGCCCCGGCUCCCGUUUCUCGGCCGGCCGCUGCUACUUAUCGGCAGGCUCCCGCUGGUUUCUCUGGCAAGCGGUGCGGAUGGGGAAUAUAUAAUCCCAACGAGAGACACGCACAUGACGCAACGCGGUUGGAGGUGUUGAGUAUGGAGCGAGAGCAUAUAUUUAUCUUUUGCUGUUUAGAUACAUCAUUAAUCCUUUAGUUUUAAUUUUUAUGAAUUUAUAUUAUAUAAAAUUUACCGCAUAUCAUCCAUUAUUUUAUGUUCGAAACCAGCCGCUCCUUGGCUAGAUAGAUCGGCGCGCGCGGAUUGCAUUGCAUUAGAUUAGGCCGGUCGACCCGCCGCCGUACCCCAGCUUGCCGGCGGCCGGCCGGCCGCUGUAGCAGGCUCGCCAUUCUAUUCGUUCCUGGCGAGGCUAACGCGAAUCAGAACCAGAACGAGCUGCUUAUCGGAGAUGUAUCUGGCAGCUAUGCCCUACGAACCGUACGGGGUGGCGGCGGCGCCAGUCGUGUCCUUCCCCGUUGCCGGAGCGGCCAGGGCACAGGCAGUGGUCGUCGGGCCUCUUCGACUGCUUGGACGAGUCCCGCGUCUCUGUAAGCCUAGUUAGCACCCUCGAUGUUCGUCAGCUCGAUCUUGAACUUUUGCUAGGUCGUAUAGUAGGUAGCUGAGCUCACCGGCAGGCACAGGCUGCCUGACGCACUAGUGCCCGUGCGUCACGUUCGGGCGGAUCGCGGCGCGACGUCGUGCGCGACGGGCGGGGCGCUAUACGCGCUCAUCGCCUGCCUCUCGGCGUCGCGGUGCCAGUGGGUGUAUUCCUGCACGUACCGCGCCGUGAUGCGCUCGCAGUUGGGCCUCCCGGAGGCGCCAUGCGCCCGACUGCCUCGUCCACCUAAGCGCUCUGCCAGCAGUACAGGGAGCUCAAGGCUUGGGGCCUCGAGCCCUCAACCCCGCCAUCGGCCGGGACUUGAACGAUGCCAUGUACCCGCCGCCGGCGCAGGGGAUGCGACGGCACUGAUCGGUGGAUCCCUCCAUGUAUCGGGUCCAUUUCGUUUGUUUGUUGACGACAGAUGCAGACACAGUACAAGGUGUCCACCUACACCACACGCCAGGCUGGACCACCCUCCAUAUAUAUAGGGUGAGUAAAUUGGAAGUCAUAUGCUUUCAAAUAUUAUAGAAAGACCUGACCCUUUACCCCCGACCUGGCUGAAACAUGCAUACGCCAGGCUGUCAACUGUGUCACUGCCCGUGCACCAGGUCAACCUUCCCCACGAUCAUCAGGCAAACACCUGGUCCAAAAUCAACCUCCCGCAUGGGACGCAAACCAUAAAUUGUGGUUCUGUUUUUACACAAAUAGAGUAAAACUGUCAACAUAAAUAGUGUAAAUAGUUCAGAGAGAUAGCAUAAAAACCGCGCCACAUGCUCAUGCGCAGGUGCAUGCAUGCAGAUUCUAUUUUUAUGAUAGAUCCAAUAAUUAUGACAUGGCGUGAGAAUUUUAAUUAUAUGUAAUCAAAUUUUAGAUGACAUUUUCGUUUCCAUUGCAUGCGCGCAAAAAAUUACAUGACAGGAAUGUGCGAGAUGAAAGGAAAUUGAUUGACAUAUAUGGAAACAAUAAAAUCUUAUUUUAGAUUUGUAUUUUAUUCAUAAAUAUAUGAUCGCUCGAACAGUCAUGCAGCUAGUCUCGUUACAACCAGUUAUGCAAUAUGGAACGCUGCAUAAAAACUACCACGAGGUACACUAGUAGACGUAUCUCCAGAUUCGAGCGUAAAAACCUUAAGUUUUGAGCAUGAAACCCCUCAGUUAUGUGCGUAAAUAUCGAGCCAUGUGAGAGAGGUUGAUAACUCUAAUGCGUUGUAUGUACGAUCCUAUUUUAUGGUAGAUCCAAAAAAUAUGAGUCAAAUGCAUGUGGUUUCUUUUUUAUGCAAAUCCGAAAAUUAUGGAAGAUCGUGUGAGUUUACAUUGCAUGCGCAUAAAUUUUGGAUGUUAUUUUCAUUUCUACUACACGCAUGCAAAAAAAAUAGAAUGACAUGAUUCACGCAGAGCAUAAAUUCUUAUAUAAAGUUGCAUAAAUACAUACACUAUGUAGCGUAAUUGAUAAAAAAAUCGCAUACAUAAAAAUCAUACUUCAUCAUCGUAAAAAUUAUCACUGGAAUGCAUAAAUAUUGUAAGUAGCGGGUAUAAAACAUAAUCAUCGAUGACAUAAACAUGGAUCGGAUAGUUCGCCGCUGGAGAAUGAUCCCGAGACCGCUACAUCAAAGGAUGCCUCAGAGGCCAUCGGGUAGAAGGUGGUCGUCGAAGGAGGACGCCCUCCGAUGCGCCACACCCGAGGAGAUCGUUGUCUUUGGAUGACACCACAGACGGUCAACGCAACCAUCACCGCUCGCGCCUUGAAAGGUCAUCACCACCGCCGCAGAUCGCGCCUCGGGAGAUCGCGAUCGCCCCAACCGCUCGUGCCUCGGCAGACGCGGUCAUCGCUGCUCGCGCUUAUGGUCGUCACGGCCGCCACAACGCUCACGUCUUGGGCCGCCACUCGACGACAUCGUCUUGGGCCGACGUUGCCUGGGAAUGCCUCUCGCGUCUCACAAUGCCGCUCGCGUCUCGCGUCGCAGCCUGCAGGAAGUCGUCAUCGACGUCCGGUCGCCGCUCGCCUCCUCUAGCACCUCACGCAGUUGCAGCCGCUAUGAGGCCUCGAAACCUUAAUUCCUAGGGGUCUAGGGUGUUUUUAUAGACGCUCGUACGUGAUCUGGCUCAACCGAAAGGCACGUCGGGCCUAGGCUUCUGGUAGCUAUUGGACAUGGUAUAGUUUCCAACAUAGAUGCCAGUAUGCCACUGUUGAUCGUCCGACAACAGUACACGGUCACCGGUACAAGCAUUGUACAUUUAAAUUACGAAACGCAUGGUUUAUCCAUUUCACAUCGAACAUACCAUGUCCAAGUCACAAAUUAAACCAGACAUAUAUGCGAACACUUAUUACUCUUAGUUCGAAAAACAAAACAAGUUGGCAGCACGGAUAUCGAGGUUGAGAUUACAGGCUUUAGCAGGUAAGCAAGCAAGCUGAUGGUCGAUCCAUGCACAUGUAUCAGAACUUGGAGAUGAAGUCGUAGAUGUGCUGGCUGACCUCGUCGGCCUUCUCCUGCUGGACGAAGUG